UCCUGCCACACUGACUUUCAGUUCCUCCUAGGCUCCGUCUCCCUGCCUCGUGAAUAGUUUUCCUUCUAUUCACCAGGACUGUCUCUCGCUGGCAAAUCCCAGCACCACUGCAGUAACUUUAUUGGGCACAGCUUAGAAUCCACCGGAUAAAAUAUGUGCUACUUUAAUGGCCUAUUUAAGGACACGUAACUGAUGAGAAGUAGAAGCCCAAAACAUGAGGAUGAGUCAGAAUACCGAAACAGAAAGAGGAAGACACAAUGUAUGUAAGAUUGGCAUCUCCCCAUUUACUCCACCACUCCCCAGGGAGUAGGAACACGCUCUUCUGUUUUAAAGAAAGGGAAGAGGGAUCAAGAUAGCUAUGGAUGCUGAGGCAGAGGACAAGGAAGGUCAAGAUGAACGCUGAUGACGUAACAAGGACUGAAGCUGAAGCUCCAAUACUUUGGCCACCUGCUGUGAAGAGCCAACUCAUUGGAAAAGACCCUGAUGCUGGGAAGGAUUGAGGGCAGGAGGAGAAGGGGGUGACAGAGGAUGACAUGGUUGGAUGGCAUCAGCGAUUCGAUGGACAUGAGUUUGAGCAAGCUCCAGGAGGCAGUGAAGGACAGGGAAGCCUAGUGUGGUGCAGUUCAUGGGGUUGCAAAGAGCCAGACAUCACUUACAGACUGAACAACAACAACAACACAUACUGUAUAAUGAUGAUUUGAAAAAUAAAAUUAUUAAGGACAGCAUUAAAUGUUGAGCUGAUAUAAAGUUUCCAAAUAAAAUACAUUCC
Bos taurus (domestic cattle) is the source of this 769-nucleotide long non-coding RNA. NCBI's taxonomy places the organism in Eukaryota, Metazoa, Chordata, Mammalia, Artiodactyla, Bovidae. The record is from Ensembl.